RNAcentral lists this long non-coding RNA (298 nucleotides) under Solanum lycopersicum (tomato). RNAcentral's name for it is "partial TCONS_00168799". The record is from RNAcentral. Lineage: Eukaryota; Viridiplantae; Streptophyta; Magnoliopsida; Solanales; Solanaceae.
GAGAAACACUAACAAAAGAAUAAUAAAUCAAGUUUUUCUCACAGUAAAUAACCAUGACACAUUAAAAAAAAGAAGAAGAUAAAGAUGCAAAUUUUUAGACGUAUACGAUGAUUAAACCACCUUUGGUGCUUCUUCCACCUUAGUUGCAGGUGCUUCUUCCUUGUUUGGUUCUCCAGACUCAAUAACUAUCUCCUUCUCCUUCUCCUUCACCUUCACCUCCACCUCUUCAGUUGACGUGGCGGCUGGUGCAUGCACGUCAUCAGCAGCCGCGGGUUCCUCUUCCUUCUUAUCUUCUGUG